RNAcentral lists this ribosomal RNA (366 nucleotides) under Triticum aestivum (bread wheat). RNAcentral describes it as "partial small subunit ribosomal RNA". Lineage: Eukaryota; Viridiplantae; Streptophyta; Magnoliopsida; Poales; Poaceae. The record is from RNAcentral.
CCGGCGCGGCCCGUCAUGGCCCCUCCGCCCCCGCGCCCCAUCAUGGCCCCUCCGCCUCCGCCUCCGCUGUCCGCCAUCCCGUCGCGGCUCCACCGCAUCCGGCCGCCGCCGCUGGCCCCGCCCCGCCCGGCGGCCAUCCUGCCGUCGCCGGCCCAGCCGACGCUCUCCCCUCUCCCGGCGCUCCCUUCGGUCUGCAUGUCGACGGAGUCCCCCAUCUCGGCCUACAUGCGCCGGCUCCGCGGGAUGCCGUCGCCGAUCCUCGUGCCCACAUCGCCGCUCGGGUUCGGGUGCCUCCACUCGCCGCGGGCGCCGAUGUCUCCCGGCGUGGCCAUGCCGGCCACCAGCCCCCGCGUCCGCGACCCGUGA